GGCAAUGGUUCAGUAGCAGCAGACGCUGAGACGGCUGAGCCAACAGCACGUUAUCAUAUCAUAUCCUGUAACAUUUACAUGUGGUCACCAGGGUGGCAGAGGUCAUAGAUUGAUUUACCAAUGGUGUCAUCCGAGGACCAGUCACUCAGCUCAGAGAUCCUACAGUUAUUGAGAAAGUUUUCUACAAAGACUUACAAAGUAUCACAAUAUAUAAUACUGAAGUCAGGAUUAAGCCUCAUGAUGAACGUGUCGCUCUCUAUACGCAGCUCUGUGAUGGUAGGGGGAGGGAGAGCCACAGCCAUUCCCACCAUUCCCAUAAUGUGAGAUUGUAAUUUCCUGUUGACACCAAAACAUGACUGUUGUCGAAUAUGUCCAGUGAUGUACACCACCUGAUGGAAGAAGAUUUGUAUCUUGAAUGUGCCUGAGGACUCACAGCGUUCUGGGGUGGGAGGAGUUGAUGGCCUUGGAGUAGAGGGCGCUGAGCCACCAUCGGACUGCGAGUCUGGAGAUGGAACAUCCGACACAGACCCAGCUAGAAAAAAAAAAUACAACAUUCACAGAUACUAUAAUGUGACAGUCAAUUAAGAGAGACGUCUUGUCAGUGGUGGCAGCGUUUGUUUCUGUUCACCUGUCCAGGUAGCUCAUGUCACUGCCAUGAUAAAGGAGACAGAUUGCAGAGAGACAAUUUGUAGGAACUAAUAUAUGGAUUAAACCUGAAAUGAAGAGGACUGCAAUCAUUUCAUACUUUUUAUCUGAAGAUCCAUUGAUGGUAUCAGACUUACCUGAAAUCAAGCAGAGAAGUUCCCAUGCCGAAGGCAGAUGGUUGCAGCGGCUGGCGCAUUACAUCCCAGUGGGGGAAAAACGCUUGAUCGUUCAUACUUCAACACUGACUAAAACAGCAGGAAAAGGCCAGGGAAGACAAAUUUCACGGCUUAUUCAGUCGUUAGUGGCAUAUUGUCUUGCCCAAUUCCUGUACAUUUGAGAAAUCGUUACUGCUUAUCACAAGAACUAAUGAUAUUAAGAAAGCUAACUUGAAUUUGUUGAAGACAUUGGUGUGCGCCCAUGCGCAGAGAGUGAAGAACAUCCCCCCAUUGACGCUAAUUUAUUCGCACGGCUUCUUGAAUAAGGCAUUUUCUUUAUUUUGCUUUUACCCUCAUAUUGAUCUGGUUAAAGAAAAAGAGUCAACCUAAUUUGGCUUACUUGUGUAUGCUUCUCUCGUUGAUACUGAUUAGGAAAAGUCGCACUGACUUGUGAAAAAGAGUGCAUCUUUUAACUCAUCUGUACUAGCCGAAUCUCAAAGAAUUUGCACAUACAUUUGAAUACUUAUCUGUGCUAAAGUAAUCGAUGUGCUAUGUAGAAACACAUUUCCAAGGUUUUUCUAUAAUUACUAACAAAUGUCAAAAUUUUAGUUAAAAAUCGUAAGUAUUAGUUU
Long non-coding RNA from Ostrea edulis (European flat oyster), 1432 nucleotides. RefSeq lists it as uncharacterized. NCBI's taxonomy places the organism in Eukaryota, Metazoa, Mollusca, Bivalvia, Ostreida, Ostreidae. The record is from RefSeq and is a predicted model, not a curated record. The transcript has 7 exons.